ACGUCUUUCUUGGUCUCGUAGACAUGGCCGACGCGGGUCAUAGUGUAAUAUCUGUUCUUAUCAGCUUAAUAUCUGAUGCGGAUUGCAUUUGGACCCAAGAUAUUAAACUUAUUUUUGCAAAUUGGCGGAGUGCUUGAAGCCAGCUGGUAUUGCACUAUCUGGUAUUGUACCAUCUUCGGGAUUGGCCCACGGUUU
Molecule: small nuclear RNA, 195 nt
Organism: Dermacentor albipictus
Lineage: Eukaryota; Metazoa; Arthropoda; Arachnida; Ixodida; Ixodidae
Product: U2 spliceosomal RNA
Source: RefSeq, a predicted model, not a curated record